This is a long non-coding RNA of Malurus melanocephalus (red-backed fairy wren), 278 nucleotides long. RefSeq lists it as uncharacterized. The transcript has 3 exons. The record is from RefSeq and is a predicted model, not a curated record. Lineage: Eukaryota; Metazoa; Chordata; Aves; Passeriformes; Maluridae.
UUGGGGUCGGGGCAAUCCCACACGGCCGUGGUGUACACGGAACGGGACGGGAGGAGAUCCCGGCUGGUCAUCUACGGGGGCAUGAGCGGCUGCAGGCUGGGGGAUCUAUGGACACUGGACAUUGAGACGCUGACCUGGAACAAGCCGAGCCUGAGUGGGGUCGCUCCCCUCCCCCGCAGCCUCCACUCGGCCACCACCAUCGGCAACAAGAUGUACGUUUUUGGGGGGUGGGUGCCCCUGGUGAUGGACGACGUCAAAGUGGCCACGCACGAGAAGGA